GUGCUUGCUUUGGGAGCAUGUAUACUAAAUUGGAACAAUACAGUGAAGAUUAGCGUGGUCCCAAUGCAAGGAUGACAUGCAGAUUUGUGAAGUGUUCCAUAUUUUU
Molecule: small nuclear RNA, 106 nt
Organism: Delphinapterus leucas (beluga whale)
Lineage: Eukaryota; Metazoa; Chordata; Mammalia; Artiodactyla; Monodontidae
Source: Ensembl